RNAcentral lists this ribosomal RNA (500 nucleotides) under uncultured bacterium. RNAcentral's name for it is "partial 16S ribosomal RNA". It matches the Rfam family "Bacterial small subunit ribosomal RNA", at positions 32 to 507 of the family's 1533-position model. The record is from RNAcentral.
AAUCAACGCUGGCGGCGUGCCUAACACAUGCCAGUCGAACGCUAAAGCCCCGCAAGGUGUAUGUAGAGUGGCAAACGGGUGAGUAACACGUGGUGGACCUGCCUUCGAGUGGGGGAUAACGACCAGAAAUGGACGCGAAUACCGCAUGACAUCCUGCUUUUGAAAAAGCGGAGAUCAAAGCUGGGGAUCGCAAGACCUAGCGCUUCAAGAGUGGCCCGCGCCUGAUUAGCCAGUUGGGGAGGUAAUGGCUCACCAAGGCGACGAGCAGUAUCCGGCCUGAGAAGGAGGACGGACACCCUGGGACUGAGACCCGGCCCAGACCCCCACGGGAAGCCGCCAUGGGGAAUUAUUCGCAAUGGGCGCAAGCCCGGAUACGCCCCGCCGGGUGGAGGACGAAGAUCUUCGGGUCGUAAAAUCCCGUCCAGCGGGACGAAAGCUUCGCGGAUGAAUACCCCGCGGCAUUGACGGUACCGCUAAAGGAAGCACCGGCUAACUCCGUG